UACGAACCAGCCAAACGUUAUUCGGAAUCAUUGGGCUUAAAGAGUGCGUAGGCGGCGCCGUAAGUCGGGUGUGAAAUCCCUCGGCUCAACCGAGGAACUGCGCCCGAUACUGCGGCGCUCGAGGGAGACAGGGGUGAGCGGAACUGAUGGUGGAGCGGUGAAAUGCGUUGAUAUCAUCAGGAACACCGGUGGCGAAAGCGGCUCACUGGGUCUUUUCUGACGCUGAGGCACGAAAGCUAGGGUAGCGAACGGG
Molecule: ribosomal RNA, 253 nt
Filed under: uncultured bacterium
Lineage: Bacteria
Description: partial 16S ribosomal RNA
Rfam family: Bacterial small subunit ribosomal RNA
Source: RNAcentral